CCCAGACUCCUACGGGAGGCAGCAGUGGGGAAUAUUGCACAAUGGGGGGAACCCUGAUGCAGCGACGCCGCGUGAGUGAAGAAGUAUUUCGGUAUGUAAAGCUCUAUCAGCAGGGACGAAGAUGACGGUACCUGCAGAAGAAGCCCCGGCUAACUACGUGCCAGCAGCCGCGGUAAUACGUAGGGGGCAAGCGUUAUCCGGAUUUACUGGGUGUAAAGGGAGCGUAGACGGCAGCACAAGUCUGGAGUGAAAUGCCGGGGCUUAACCCCGGAACUGCUUUGGAAACUGUGCAGCUAGAGUGCAGGAGAGGUAAGUGGAAUUCCUAGUGUAGCGGUGAAAUGCGUAGAUAUUAGGAGGAACACCAGUGGCGAAGGCGGCUUACUGGACUGUAACUGACGUUGAGGCUCGAAAGCGUGGGGAGCAAACAGGAUUAGAUACCCCAGUAAAC
This 448-nucleotide ribosomal RNA is filed under the name uncultured bacterium. Its description in RNAcentral is "bacterial SSU rRNA". It matches the Rfam family "Bacterial small subunit ribosomal RNA", at positions 330 to 795 of the family's 1533-position model. The record is from RNAcentral.